CCUACGGGUGGCAGCAGUGAGGAAUAUUGGUCAAUGGGCGCGAGCCUGAACCAGCCAAGUCGCGUGAAGGAUGACUGCCCUACGGGUUGUAAACUUCUUUUAUAAAGGAAUAAAGUGAGGCACGUGUACCUUUUUGUCUGUACUUUAUGAAUAAGCAUCGGCUAACUCCGUGCCAGCAGCCGCGGUAAUACGGAGGAUCCGAGCGUUAUCCGGAUUUAUUGGGUUUAAAGGGAGCGUAGAUGGGUUGUUAAGUCAGAUGGGAAAGUUUGGGGCUCAACCGUAAAAUUGCGAUUGAGACUGGCAGCCUUGAGUGCGGGAGAGGUAGGCGGAAUUCGUGGUGUAGCGGUGAAAUGCAUAGAUAUCACGAAGAACUCCGAUUGCGAAGGCAGCUUACUGGACAGCAACUGACGUUGAGGCUCGAAAGUGUGGGUAUCGAACAGGAUUAGAUACCCCUGUAGUC
RNAcentral lists this ribosomal RNA (460 nucleotides) under uncultured bacterium. RNAcentral describes it as "partial 16S ribosomal RNA". It matches the Rfam family "Bacterial small subunit ribosomal RNA", at positions 338 to 795 of the family's 1533-position model. The record is from RNAcentral.